This is an RNA transcript of Alligator sinensis (Chinese alligator), 3805 nucleotides long. It is a transcript of the gene named general transcription factor IIIC subunit 3, with no coding region annotated. The transcript is spliced from 19 exons. NCBI's taxonomy places the organism in Eukaryota, Metazoa, Chordata, Crocodylia, Alligatoridae. The record is from RefSeq and is a predicted model, not a curated record.
CCGUGCGGCUCCAAGGGACCCAAGCUGCUGAUGCCCGCCGGGGAUGAAGAAAAUUCACCUACUGAGGAAAAUACAGAAAACCUUGAUGCUCCAUCUUCAUCUAGAAAAGGAUCUAGUAAAUCCCAGUGUCUCAAUGAUACAGAAGGCGAAACAUCAGAUGGGGUGAGUAAAUCUGUCCAUCGGGUCUUUGCUUCCAUGCUUGGAGAAAAUGAGGACGAAGAAGAGGAGGAGGAAGAGGAGGAGGAGGAAGAGGAGGAGGAGGAGGAGGAGGAAGAUGAUGACGAAACCUCUGAGCAACCCUCAGCUGGAGAUGUUUUUGCAUUGGAGAUGGUGUUAAACAGGGAGAACAAGAAAAUGAUGAAAGAGAAAAGACCUCGCAGUAAACUUCCUCGAGCCCUGAGAGGCCUCAUGGGAGAAGCCAACAUUAGGUUUGCUCGAGGAGAACGUGAGGAAGCUAUACUGAUGUGUAUGGAAAUCAUAAGACAAGCUCCUCUUGCUUAUGAGCCAUUUUCUACUCUUGCCAUGAUCUAUGAAGACCAAGGUGACAUGGAGAAAUCAUUGCAGUUUGAAUUGAUUGCAGCUCACUUAAACCCUAGUGACACCGAAGAGUGGGUUAGACUAGCAGAAAUGUCACUAGAACAGGACAAUAUUAAACAGGCCAUUUUUUGCUAUACAAAAGCUCUGAAGUAUGAUGCUACCAAUGUACGUUAUCUGUGGGAAAGGUCAAGCUUAUAUGAACAGAUGGGGGAACAUAAAAUGGCAAUGGAUGGCUAUAGACGCAUCUUAAAUCUCCUGUCCCCUUUUGAUGGAGAACGUUUUAUGCAGCUUGCCAGAGACAUGGCAAAGAGUUAUUAUGAAGCCAAUGAUGUCACCUCUGCUAUUGAGAUCAUAGAAGAAGCCUUUACUAAACACCAGAGCCUUGUCUCCAUGGAAGAUGUUAAUAUAGCUGCUGAACUAUACAUCUCCUGCAAACAGUAUGACAAAGCAUUGGCGGUUAUUACAGAUUUUUCAGGAAUAGUUCUUGAAAAGAAAGCUACGGAAAAAGGAUCUUCUGAGGAGAAUAAAGAAACAAACACAGUAGCUGUUGUGAAAAUCCAAGAAAGCCAAGUGGAAGUGAUGGACUAUCAAGACGUGCCACCUGAAUCCAGUGCUGCCUGUGAGCAAUCUCCAGAGAAAGUUAGCUGCCUUAUCCCUGAUGGAGUUCCUAUAGAUAUUACAGUGAAGCUGAUGAUCUGCUUGGUUCACCUGAGCAUUCUAGAGCCACUCAAUCCUCUCUUGACUACUCUAGCAGAGCAAAAUCCAGAGGAGAUGGGGGAUUUAUACCUAGAUGUUGCAGAAGCAUUUCUGGAUGUUGGAGAAUACAAUUCAGCAUUGCCUCUCUUGAGUGCCCUAGUCUGUUCUGAAAGAUAUAACUUGGCUGUAGUCUGGCUCCGGCAUGCAGAGUGCUUAAAAGCCUUGGGUUAUGUAGAACGGGCUGCAGAGAGCUACGCCAAAGUUGUAGAUCUUGCUCCCUUGCAUUUGGAUGCAAGAAUUUCACUUUCUACACUUCAGCAGCAGCUUGGCCGGCCUGAGAAAGCUCUCGAGGCCCUGGAACCAAUGUAUGAUCCAGAUACGCUAGCACAGGAUGCUAAUGCUGCCCAGCAGGAAUUAAAGCUGCUGCUCCAUCGUUCAACACUGUUGUAUUCCCAAGGCAAAAUGUAUGGCUAUGUAGACACUUUACUCACCAUGCUAGCCAUGCUCUUAAAGGUAGCAAUGAACAGAGCUCAAGUGUGUUUAAUAUCUAGUUCCAAAUCUGGGGAGCGACACCUUUAUCUUAUUAAGGUAUCAAGGGAUAAAAUAUCAGACAAUGAUGACCAAGAGACAGCAAACUGUGAUGCCAAAGCCAUAUUUGCUGUACUCACAAGUGUCCUGACAAAAGACGAUUGGUGGAACCUUCUCCUGAAAGCCAUUUACUCCUUGUGUGACCUCUCCCGAUACAAGGAAGCAGAGCUGUUGGUGGAUUCUUCACUGGAGUAUUAUUCGUUCUAUGAUGACAGGCAAAAGCGUAAAGAGCUGGAGUACUUUGGUCUUUCAGCUGCAAUUCUGGACAAGAAUUUCCGCAAGGCUUAUAAUUAUAUCAGAAUAAUGGUAAUGGAAAAUGUCAAUAAACCUCAGCUCUGGAACAUCUUCAAUCAAGUCACCAUGCAGUCUCAGGAUGUACGACACCAUCGCUUUUGUCUUAGGCUAAUGUUGAAAAAUCCAGAAAAUCAUGCACUGUGUGUCCUAAAUGGGCACAAUGCAUUUGUAUCUGGCAGUUUCAAGCAUGCUCUUGGACAGUAUGUGCAAGCCUUUCGUACCAAUCCUGAUGAGCCUCUGUACAGCCUUUGCAUAGGCUUAACUUUUAUCCAUAUGGCAUCUCAGAAAUAUGUCUUAAAAAGACAUGCUCUUCUAGUACAGGUAAGAUGCUGAAGAGACGUCUCAACAAAAGUUGUGGGGAUAGGAGGGGAAACCACACACUGAAAAUAUGAUCUGGAAAGGACAAUCAAAAGGUCUUCCAAAUAAAAGCAGAAACCCUGAAUUGGAAGGAUGAUUUCACGUUUGUUUUCUGCAUCUCUCUCUCCCCCAGAGGUGUGAGCUUCUGGGAGGCAAGCUAUAUUUCAUCUAAGGCUUCAUGUUUCAACAAUACUUCUUUACUGGGUUUAUAACAAGACAUCUCCUUCUACUACUACCUCAUUAGCUAGCAAACAAGUCAUUAGUUCCAUAUCCUGAAUGCAAAAAUGUCUUCUCUAUAACCAUAAGAGGACUGAAAGCUAUGAAUACCCUUGCUUUCAUAGCAUGGAAUCCAGCUCUUGUUCAGCAGCUGGACUCUUUUCUGUUAAACAUGAUGUUACAGAUGCAGUUCUAAGAAUGUUCACAAGUUUCCGUUUCAGGUGUUGACAUUCUAUUCCACAUUUGGAGGUACUCUUACACAGAUCACCAUUCAAAUUUUUUCCCCAGCAGUGCUCAACAACUGCACUCUUCCCAGCCUUUUCUUGCCCUUACCUCCUGAAGUCUAAGAUUCAUUUUCUGUUUUGUUGUCCUCAGUUGUUCUACUGCAAUUGCUGCAUCUGUCUGAAAAGACGAGAGAAACCAUUUCUAUUCCAUUUCUGCAGUCAGUCAUCAGUAUGCCAAACCUGACUGCGCAAAAAUCUUUUAUUAUUGUCUCACAUCAUAUACUAUACCAAGACUGGAUUGCCAAUUACAGUCUGGGUCAAGAGUGCUAAAAUGAUGAGUGCUUUAUGCACUGUUCAUGACCAAUUAUUUGAGACCAUCAAGAUGUUAGGAUGAACAUAGUGCAUCUUAUUCCCCUUUCACUUAACGGUGGUGAAGCUGUACAAUCCAGAAAAUAUAGGCAAAGAUUAAACUACUAGCAAAAUGAGAGGAGCACUUAAGACUCCAAUGAGGAGGACCCUGAGCUUUAGAGGGGUAAGAAAUAAAUUUUCCUGUCCAGGUUUGGUUACCUCCAGGACAGUGGUUUUCAACCUUAUCUUUUCCACUUGCAGACCCCUAAAAAUUUUGAAUGGAAAUAUGGACCCUACUGGAAGUUUUAAAUGGGGUACAGACUCCUUUGAAUGGUAAGCGUGGGUAUUCACAUACUUUUGAUCAGUCAUCUUUCAUGGAUCCCUAGGGGUCUGCAGACUACAGGAUGACAGCCAAUACUCCAUGAUCACCUCUCCUCAUCUGAGGAUCUCUAGCCGUCUUGGACAAAAGACCAGAACCUGCCAAAGCAUUUCUAAAGAAGCAUGUGCAAUUUGGAAUCUGUCAAAGCAUAGAAUAAGCACCUUUU